CAUGCCCUCACCCUGCAGCCCUGGGAUCUCAUGGUUCCCCUCUGGUCUCAGGCCCUUCAGCAAUACUGAAACUCAUCAGAGAAGCUCCACCAGGAACUGCAGGACAAAUGGCACGUAGCUCCAUCUGAAAAUAAAGCAACAAUGCCAGCAGCAGAAAUCAGCUGCUGUGCAAGUAGAAACUGUUUUGUGUCAUGGACUGGCUGAAAAAUCCAAGUUGUGAAGAGAGCAGGGAAAAGGAGAAAUCCACCCCCGGCAGGACAGGACAAGGAGGAACCCGGGCUUCAGACCAGGAUUACUCCAGGAAUGUGCUGAAUCACAGCUCAAGGGUGGGGAUUUAAAGCCUCUUGAGCAACAAGACGAUUUUUCUGCCAGUCUUAUGGUUAAAAGUACAAAACAAAUCACUGUAUCAUCAGCUUUUACUACCUUUUGUGCAAAUGGUAACAACAGCAAUUUUUGAAAAUGCACACAAGCAUGUUUUUUUAGAGUCUUACUGAAACACAGUGAGUCAAAAUGCCAUUCCUGGGGCAAAAAUCCAUAAUAUUCUUUACAUCAAAGUAUUUACGACAUUUUAGCUUUUUCAAGUGAAGCAAAGUCAUGUGGCUGAGGGGGUACAAAAAUCCCCUAAAAGAACAGAAAACUGUUUAACAAGACAGCACCCCUUGCACUUUACAUGCCAGAAGCAAAAAUGUGCUGCUGCAACAACUCCCAGCCUCGCUUGUGCAAGAGCAGCCAGCAGAGUCCCAGCAAAGCCAGUUUUUAUUUCCCUUCUUUAUUGGUUGGGUUUGGCUCCUAAGAGGCUGCUCAGAGGUCUGCAGAGCUCAUCUCACAGCAGUAAGGCAGAGCUGCUCUCUAGCCACCUUUAUCUGAGAAAGAAAUGGGAUUCACCUCUGCUUCCCUGGGCCCACAGGGGAAUUUUUAACGCACCUGUGGGAGAUGCAGUUUCCUCAGCAACAAUCUCCACAUGACAGCUCCAUGUCACAAGCAUUACUGGGGAUGAAGUUCAGCACAGCAUGUGGAAGGGACUAUCUGGUCAGCUGGUCACUGAGAGGCAUAUUUCUUCCUCUGAGGGCAAGAUCCUUCAGUUUUCCAUCUUUACAGAAAGGAAGAUGCAUGAGAAAAAAAAGAGUACAAGGAGGCGGCAUGGGAUUGCAAGGGGUGCAAAACAGAACACGUUUUGCAAGAUAGCUCUGUGACAAAUGUCUCUCCCAUUGUUAACCCACAGAGCUGGUUGGCACCAGAGCCUCCACAAGAUUUAUGCAGCUUGUGGAUGUGUAAGAUGGGUUUUAACAGCUGUGGAAUACCAGGUUGGAAGGACCUCGAGGAUUAUUUGGUCCAACCAAACUUUCAAGGAAAAAGCAUGGUCUAAAAGAAGCUCAGCACCCUCUCCAGCCAAAUCUUAAGUGUCCCCAGGUGCUGGGGAAUACACUGCUUCCCUGGGGAGAUUAUUCCAAUGGUGGAUUGUUUUUAUUGUGAAAAGUUAUCCUCUUGUGUGCAAUCAGAAUCUCCCCAGGAGUAAAUUGUACCCAUAAGUGCUCAUUUUUUUCCCAUAGACCCCUUAUAAAAAGGGAUUCUCUAUCUUGUUUGUAACCACCCUUUGAACAGUGGAACACAGUGAUCAGAACUUUCAUAAGCUUUUUUCCUCAAGAUUCAACAAUAAAAUUGUGCAGUUCACAUGUGAUCUUUUCUAAAACCAGUCUGUAAGUGCAAAAUUGGCAGAAAGCUCCCUAGGUGUGGGUAAGAAAAGAGAACUGUAAUGCACAGUGGAUCCUGGCCCUUCAGGGCACUGCUUGCACACCCUGAAGUGUGUGUUGCUGCCUGAGGGUUAUCCUUUUGUCCAUGUUCUUCACUUUUAAAAUAAAUCCUUCAUCUGCUUGUUAACCA
Molecule: long non-coding RNA, 1881 nt
Organism: Haemorhous mexicanus (house finch)
Lineage: Eukaryota; Metazoa; Chordata; Aves; Passeriformes; Fringillidae
Exons: 2
Source: RefSeq, a predicted model, not a curated record